AUUUCCAAUUUUGCCCUUAACUUUAUUUCAAAAUUACGGACAGUUUGCUUUUAUUUCUGUUUUGGUCUUUAGUGAGAUUGUGUCAUUUAAAAGAAUUUCAGACCACACAAAUCUUUCAUUCUCGUCUUCGUAUUCCUCCCAAGUUCUCUCUCUAAACUCAGACCCAUCCUCUAUUCUCUCUCUCUCCGUUUUUGAAUUUAUUUAUUAUUUUGUUUAUGAAUUUGAUGAUCUGUGAUUUUUGUUUGCAGAAGAAGGAAAAUAUCACUCCGAUUGGCUUGAAGAUCGUGCUCACGAACCCAGCUCUCUGCCAAAGCCUCAAGAUCCACUCCCUCUGCAAACAACAGGCAAUGAAGUGCCAAAAUCGAUGGUUUCUAACGAGAGAACUGAGAAGCAGCUCCACCAAAAUCGAUUCCUCCACUCUCUGUGAUUUUAAUUUCUUUAUUAUCUCCUAAAUUUCCUGCAUAAUCUUUUCUGAUGCUUGGCAGGGACUCGACGAACUGGAGGAAACCGAUUUCAGUAAUCAAAGGGUGGUUCUCGCCCUCUAUGAGACCAUGUACUCUGAUUUUAAUUUCUCU
Molecule: long non-coding RNA, 575 nt
Organism: Carya illinoinensis
Lineage: Eukaryota; Viridiplantae; Streptophyta; Magnoliopsida; Fagales; Juglandaceae
Exons: 2
Source: RefSeq, a predicted model, not a curated record